RNAcentral lists this ribosomal RNA (447 nucleotides) under uncultured bacterium. RNAcentral describes it as "bacterial SSU rRNA". It matches the Rfam family "Bacterial small subunit ribosomal RNA", at positions 355 to 825 of the family's 1533-position model. The record is from RNAcentral.
UCGGGAAUUUUGGGCAAUGGGCGAAAGCCUGACCCAGCAACGUCGCGUGAAGGAUGAAGUAUUUCGGUAUGUAAACUUCGAAAGAAUAGGAAGAAUAAAUGACGGUACUAUUUAUAAGGUCCGGCUAGCUACGUGCCAGCAGCCGCGGUAAUACGUAGGGACCAAGCGUUGUUCGGAUUUACUGGGCGUAAAGGGCGCGUAGGCGGCAAUUCAAGUCAUCUGUGAAAUCUCCGGGCUUAACUCGGAACGGUCAGAUGAUACUGAUUUGCUAGAGUGCAGAAGGGGCAAUCGGAAUUCUUGGUGUAGCGGUGAAAUGCGUAGAUAUCAAGAGGAACACCUGAGGUGAAGACGGGUUGCUGGGCUGACACUGACGCUGAGGCGCGAAAGCCAGGGGAGCAAACGGGAUUAGAUACCCGGGUAGUCCCUGAGCGGGCUGGCAAGGCGCAU